UACGUAGGGUGCAAGCGUUGUCCGGAUUUAUUGGGCGUAAAGCGCGUGUAGGCGGUUUGGUAGGUCCGCUGUGAAAACUCGAGGCUCAACCUCGAGCUGUCGGUGGAAACCGUGUGGCUAGAGUCCGGAAGAGGAGAGUGGAAUUCCCGGUGUAGCGGUGAAAUGCGCAGAUAUCGGGAAGAACACCCGUGGCGAAGGCGGCUCUCUGGGACGGGACUGACGCUGAGACGCGAAAGCGUGGGGAGCGAACAGG
This 253-nucleotide ribosomal RNA is filed under the name uncultured bacterium. Its description in RNAcentral is "partial 16S ribosomal RNA". It matches the Rfam family "Bacterial small subunit ribosomal RNA", at positions 524 to 776 of the family's 1533-position model. The record is from RNAcentral.